Molecule: long non-coding RNA, 2417 nt
Organism: Rhincodon typus (whale shark)
Lineage: Eukaryota; Metazoa; Chordata; Chondrichthyes; Orectolobiformes; Rhincodontidae
Exons: 2
Source: RefSeq, a predicted model, not a curated record
ACUGUAAUCCUGUAGCCCCAAUUUUAAAUCCCUCAAAUUAGGACGAGAUGAAUCAAAGUGAAUGAUUAGCUGAUAGUAAAUGUGAAGUUGAAAAACCUGUAGAUCAUAGAAGCCAAGAAUGAGCAGUUCAACAUCCUGAGGCUCUGGGAAGAGAUUGGAGGUUUCUUAUAAAUGUGAGUGAGCAAGAGUGAUGAAUUCAUCUCUGCUUUUCUAUUUAGGACUCAACAUUGGUCCUGUUGUAGCAGGAGUGAUUGGAGCCCGCAAACCUCAGUAUGACAUCUGGGGAAACACAGUCAAUGUGGCAAGUCGAAUGGACAGUACAGGUGUCCCUGACAGAAUUCAGGUGACUACAGACAUGUACCAAGUCCUGUCAGCUGAAAACUAUCACUUGGAGUACCGGGGACUGGUUAAAGUCAAAGGCAAAGGAGAAAUGUAUACAUAUUUCCUGAACGAAGGACCAGACAUCAGUUAGCAACGACAGAAACACCAAAAAAAACUAUACUUAUCAAAAUUCUUGGAAAUCCUGUGCCCUACAUGUGAUUGCGAGGAAUGGACUGAGGAUAUACAAUGUCAGAAUCACAGCUGGGUGACGUUCUCGACUUCAACAGGACAAACACCAGACAGAGACCUUUUCAAAAGAACACACCCAUUCCCCACUUUCCCAGCAAAAAUAUUUAGAAGAAAAUGGGAACAGACAAACUAAGGUCAUUCAGCAUUUCAAUCCUGCUCUGCAUUUCAUUGAGAUUGUGGCUGAUCUGAGGCUGAACUCCAUCCCCCCAUCAUGUUAUAAAAGUCAAAGGCGCAAAGACCAUGACAAAGACUCUGGCCAGCAAUCCAAUUGAAUAAUUGUUCCCCUCCUAUCACUUCCAAUGUAACACAACCAAAGAAUAUAUAUUAAAUAAUAGUGUUCUGGAGACUUUAGUGUGUUAACGACAACCACAAAUACACAUACAUAUACACACAUAUCAUUUACAGAUACAGAUGUAUACACACAAACACUUGUAUGUACAUACACAUAUGCAUACACAGUUACAUAUACACAGACACAAAAGCAUUCACAUAAACAAUCUUAAACAUUCUGUCUUACAUAUACAACACAUAUAUACACACUAAUUUAAACACAUACAGAUACAUCCACAUGCACACAUACACACCUUACACUUGUGUACACUAAUGGAAGCAAAUGUAUAUACAUGCAACACACACUAAUCACUUACAUAUAUGCAUACCUUACAAUUUAACAUGCAAACAUACAUAAGCAAACAUUUACAUGUAAAUACAUUUACACACAUACGUUUACAUGUAGAUACACACAAAUGAACACAGAUUUUUACAUUUUUACAUAAACACAUAGUUGAAUAUGCACAUCUGCAAACAUGUACUCGCUCAAACUUUCAGGCAUACACGCAUGCAAACAUUUAUAUAUACAAAGACUUACACAGAGGAGCAAGGCCCCAAUGGGAUGAAACAUAGACUCAGCAGAAUACAAGAUCGAUGCCAGUAGCAAGUUACGGACAUCCCAGCUAUACUUUGAUGCAUUGGGAAAAUGCAGGGAACUGCCAUCAGUGCCAACAUGACACAUUAGAGCACCCAGUCUGAAUGGGCUAAAUUCAUGCCAGGUGUCGUUCCCACCAUGGUACACCUGGCGGAAACCAGGAUCACUUGCUGAUGAUUACUCUCAAAGUGUUUUCUUGUUCUUCGUGGAUUCAGCAGACUACUUGGGGCACUGUUGAGAGUCCGACUGUGGGUCUACAGCCAUGAGAACCUUUGAAUAUUCUUCUGACUGCGCCUUCCACACCACAAGGGGCAGGGGGCCAGAAAUAAUUUUGAAUUUACCACUUGUUAUUUUAGUUUGUAAUGUUAAAACUUCAGACUUAGCAGAGCACUAGAAUUCUAUAUUUUGUAAUGAUAAUAGCAGACGCUAUGUACACCAGUGUAUAUUAUUCUGAUGUAUUCAAUGCUAUUACAAGGACUAAGUGCAGCGCUCUCUCUGUGUAAUUCUCUCUCUCCCAUCACACAUUAUCUUCGAUUGUAAUAUGGCUUCAUUGCAUGUGGGUCAAAGGACUUACUGAUCUCUGACCAGCCCUCACAUAUCCAACACUUUUGAACACUAACACUUCACUCCCCAUCCUCCUGAUUUCCUUCCCUUCAUUGUUAAAACAAUACCUGAUUCCAUGGGCACGUUUCCACUGUUUGGGUAGCCCGCAAUUAAUAUUUUGUGAACGGAGAGGGUCAUUUAUGGGUCUCUGACUGCUGGAAUGUAAUUGGUAAGAUAAAAUUUUGUGAUUUAUAAGAGGGACAUGCACUCCUUUUUUAAUCCACAUCUUGCAGACAUUAUGGUAAUUUCCCAUGGAAAUGGAAAUGUGUUCAAUAAUUUAUUACAAACUGUAUUAAACAAGAUACUGCUUCACUGGAAA